CUGUCGAAAGGGCUAAACCCGAGUAAUCGGGUGGCGCAAAGUUACGGGUCCGUUCACGGAUACCACCGCGAGGUGGGGUUCGUGGAGGGAUCGCCGGACUGCCAAC
RNAcentral lists this non-coding RNA (106 nucleotides) under Marinobacterium lutimaris. Its description in RNAcentral is "Marinobacterium sp. AN9 c-di-GMP-I riboswitch aptamer". It matches the Rfam family "c-di-GMP-I riboswitch aptamer". From Rfam's summary of the family: GEMM was predicted in a large-scale screen for bacterial structured RNA regulatory elements. Genes associated with GEMM are involved in a diverse array of functions, including chemotaxis regulation, signal transduction, secretion and chitin. The record is from Rfam by way of RNAcentral. Lineage: Bacteria; Pseudomonadati; Pseudomonadota; Gammaproteobacteria; Oceanospirillales; Oceanospirillaceae.